CCUACGGGGGACAGCAGUGGGGAAUAUUGGGCAAUGGGCGCAAGCCUGACCCAGCAACGCCGCGUGAAGGAAGAAGGCUUUCGGGUUGUAAACUUCUUUUAUCAGGGACGAAGCAAGUGACGGUACCUGAUGAAUAAGCCACGGCUAACUACGUGCCAGCAGCCGCGGUAAUACGUAGGUGGCAAGCGUUAUCCGGAUUUAUUGGGUGUAAAGGGCGUGUAGGCGGGAGAGCAAGUCAGAUGUGAAAUCUCAGGGCUCAACCCUGAGCCUGCGUUUGAAACUGUGUUUCUUGAGUGAUGGAGAGGCAAUCGGAAUUCCGGGUGUAGCGGUGAAAUGCGUAGAUAUACGGAGGAACACCAGUGGCGAAGGCGGACUGCUGGACAGUAACUGACGCUGAGGCGCGAAAGCGUGGGGAGCAAACAGGAUUAGAUACCCUAGUAGUC
This 443-nucleotide ribosomal RNA is filed under the name uncultured bacterium. RNAcentral's name for it is "partial 16S ribosomal RNA". It matches the Rfam family "Bacterial small subunit ribosomal RNA", at positions 338 to 795 of the family's 1533-position model. The record is from RNAcentral.